AGAGUUUGAUCAUGGCUCAGGACGAACGCUGGCGGCGUGCCUAAUACAUGCAAGUAGAACGCUGAAGAGAGGAGCUUGCUCUUCUUGGAUGAGUUGCGAACGGGUGAGUAACGCGUAGGUAACCUGCCUUGUAGCGGGGGAUAACUAUUGGAAACGAUAGCUAAUACCGCAUAACAAUGGAUGACACAUGUCAUUUAUUUGAAAGGGGCAAUUGUUCCACUACAAGAUGGACCUGCGUUGUAUUAGCUAGUAGGUGAGGUAAUGGCUCACCUAGGCGACGAUACAUAGCCGACCUGAGAGGGUGAUCGGCCACACUGGGACUGAGGCACGGCCCAGACUCCUACGGGAGGCAGCAGAAGGGAAUCUUCGGCAAUGGGGGCAACCCUGACCGAGCAACGCCGCGUGAGUGAAGAAGGUUUUCGGAUCGUAAAGCUCUGUUGUAAGUCAAGAACGGGUGUGAGAGUGGAAAGUUCACACUGUGACGGUAGCUUACCAGAAAGGGACGGCUAACUACGUGCCAGCAGCCGCGGUAAUACGUAGGUCCCGAGCGUUGUCCGGAUUUAUUGGGCGUAAAGCGAGCGCAGGCGGUUUGAUAAGUCUGAAGUUAAAGGCUGUGGCUCAACCAUAGUUCGCUUUGGAAACUGUCAAACUUGAGUGCAGAAGGGGAGAGUGGAAUUCCAUGUGUAGCGGUGAAAUGCGUAGAUAUAUGGAGGAACACCGGUGGCGAAAGCGGCUCUCUGGUCUGUAACUGACGCUGAGGCUCGAAAGCGUGGGGAGCGAACAGGAUUAGAUACCCUGGUAGUCCACGCCGUAAACGAUGAGUGCUAGGUGUUGGAUCCUUUCCGGGAUUCAGUGCCGCAGCUAACGCAUUAAGCACUCCGCCUGGGGAGUACGACCGCAAGGUUGAAACUCAAAGGAAUUGACGGGGGCCCGCACAAGCGGUGGAGCAUGUGGUUUAAUUCGAAGCAACGCGAAGAACCUUACCAGGUCUUGACAUCCCGAUGCUAUUUCUAGAGAUAGAAAGUUACUUCGGUACAUCGGUGACAGGUGGUGCAUGGUUGUCGUCAGCUCGUGUCGUGAGAUGUUGGGUUAAGUCCCGCAACGAGCGCAACCCCUAUUGUUAGUUGCCAUCAUUCAGUUGGGCACUCUAGCGAGACUGCCGGUAAUAAACCGGAGGAAGGUGGGGAUGACGUCAAAUCAUCAUGCCCCUUAUGACCUGGGCUACACACGUGCUACAAUGGUUGGUACAACGAGUUGCGAGUCGGUGACGGCGAGCUAAUCUCUUAAAGCCAAUCUCAGUUCGGAUUGUAGGCUGCAACUCGCCUACAUGAAGUCGGAAUCGCUAGUAAUCGCGGAUCAGCACGCCGCGGUGAAUACGUUCCCGGGCCCUGUACACACCGCCCGUCACACCACGAGAGUUUGUAACACCCGAAGUCGGUGAGGUAACCUUUUGGAGCCAGCCGCCUAAGGUGGGACAGAUGAUUGGGGUGAAGUCGUAACAAGGUA
This 1506-nucleotide ribosomal RNA is filed under the name metagenome. RNAcentral describes it as "bacterial SSU rRNA". It matches the Rfam family "Bacterial small subunit ribosomal RNA". The record is from RNAcentral.